RNAcentral lists this ribosomal RNA (771 nucleotides) under uncultured Neocallimastigales. RNAcentral describes it as "partial large subunit ribosomal RNA". It matches the Rfam family "Eukaryotic large subunit ribosomal RNA", at positions 23 to 632 of the family's 3401-position model. The record is from RNAcentral. Lineage: Eukaryota; Fungi; Neocallimastigomycota; Neocallimastigomycetes; Neocallimastigales.
AGAGAUGUGUGAUGACGCAUAUCAAUAAGCGGAGGAAAAGAAACUAACAAGGAUUCCCUUAGUAACGGCGAGUGAAGCGGGAAGAGCCCAAAUUUGAAAUCUUCAAGGUUUUACCUUGACGAAUUGUAGUUUAAAGAAGUGUUUUCUGUUGGAGUUUUGGUAAAAGUUCUUUGGAUUAGGACAUCAUAGAGGGUGAGAAUCCCGUAUUUGACCAUUAUUUCCAGCUGUGUGAUACACUUUCAAAGAGUCGGAUUGUUUGGGAAUGCAGUCCAAAAUGGGUGGUAAAUUUCAUCUAAAGCUAAAUAUUGGCGAGAGACCGAUAGCGAACAAGUACCGUGAGGGAAAGAUGAAAAGAACUUUGAAAAGAGAGUUAAACAGUACGUGAAAUUGUCAAAAGGGAAGCGUUUGACACCAGUGUUGUUUUCUCGAAAAUCAAUUAAAAAUGCUUGAUUUUGUGUUGUAUUGACUUUAUCAGCUUUCUGCACUUUUUUCAUUCUUUUUUAAUGCACUUUUCGUUUAACAAGUCAACAUCAAUUUCUUUUGUUGUAAAAGAGUUAUUGGAAGGUGGCUUUCUCUUCGGAAAAGUGUUUAUAGCCUUUAGCCUCUGCAAUCGGAGAGAUUGAGGUCUGCAGCGUAGAUCCUUCGGGGUUAGAUACAUUUGUGCUAAGUUAUAGUCUUUUAUAGACAACUUGUUGACUAUAAUUGAAUCUUGUAACUUACUCGCUUAUGCUAUUUUACCUACGCUUAGGAUGUUGACAGCAGUAUAGACUG